Schizosaccharomyces pombe (fission yeast) is the source of this 1234-nucleotide non-coding RNA. NCBI's taxonomy places the organism in Eukaryota, Fungi, Ascomycota, Schizosaccharomycetes, Schizosaccharomycetales, Schizosaccharomycetaceae. The record is from the annotation of a GenBank genome assembly.
AAUCCGCUCGCUCGGUAUCAAGAGAAGAAACACUUUCAUGAAGGCUUUUAAUCUUCGACUCUAAGUCUCCAACGAUGCUCGUUAAUGAAUCCUUUGAUUGAGAAGUAACUUUAAUAUUCCUAUUUAACGUCUGCAAUUUGAACAAUAGAUUUGAGUUUAAUUUGUCCGCCUCACUUCGAAGUCCUUCAUACUCCUCUUUAUCCUCUGGUAACAAUCGCAACCCUUUGAGUUGCUCUUUUUCCUGCAUGUCUUUUAAAAACUCUUUUUCAGCAGCUGAGAGUGAAGUCAAUUGAUUUUCUAAUACUUGUAACGUACUAGCUUGGUCAGAAUAAUCUUUUUCUAUUUCCGCAGCUUUUCUUUGAAUUUUUCGGAGAUUUGACUUAGACUCUAGGGCUUUCUCGGCAAUUGAAAUGAGCUCUGGACGUUUCGAAGCAAUCAACUUUUCUUGUUUUCGAACUUUUCUAUCGAAUGCAAGAAGGUUUCUUCGUAUACUGCCCUCUUUUUCUUUCAACUUUUCUAUCUCUUUAGUGUUCUCAUCUCGCCUUUCGAUAAGUUGAAUGGAAUCUGCCUUUAAUCGAGUAACCUCUGCCAUAUUAGAACUAAUACUUUUCUCUAGAUGAAAGAGUUUCCAUAAAAGGUAAACUAACUGCGCAGAGUCUCGUUUUUCUUUUUGACUUUGAUAACGCUCGGCUUCAGUUUUCUGUUCUUGAUAUUGGCGUAACUCAGCGUUGAUACCACGUUUCUUGUUAAACGAAUGAGCAGAUAAAUUUACAGCCUUGUCCUGCUCGUCUUUAGAUUUAUCGUACUCAGAUUUAUAUUCCAGAGAGCCACUUAUUUGUUCAACAAGCUUUGAAAGUUCUAAAGGAGAUUGCGAAGCAAUGGUUUCAACAUCACCUUGAAAAACUAAGAAAUUUCGAGCUCGAACAAGAAUAUUCUCCUUUUGGAGAGAUCCGCAGUAUUCAGAAAACGUAACUAUUUCUUCAUCAAUUUUGUAUUCAGUAGCACCAGAAGGAGUGAUUGCGCGUUUAUACUCUCUUUGCUCCCCAUUAUCCAACUCAUACAUAAGUUUCACAUAUGCUGUAGUAGGAUUACUAGAAUCAGUGAAAUCUGUAUUAUCUCUUUGCAGUAUUUUCCCCCGAUAGAUCAGUUCUUUAACAUUAGUUGAUCGUAAAUGAGAAGACUUGACCCCUAAAACAAAAGAAAUGGCAUCCAUUAAAUUCGAUUUUCCGGCUCC